Beta vulgaris subsp. vulgaris (sugar beet) is the source of this 107-nucleotide non-coding RNA. The record is from Rfam. NCBI's taxonomy places the organism in Eukaryota, Viridiplantae, Streptophyta, Magnoliopsida, Caryophyllales, Amaranthaceae.
AUGUUUCCUAGAGUUCCCUCCAAACACUUCUUUAGGGCAACACAUGCAGCUUUAACUAGCUAGAAAUCUGCCCUAUUUGAAGUGUUUGGGGGAACUCCUGGAUAUAU